GGGCGGCAUGCAUGAUUUCCCCCUCCCGUACGUGAUUAUAUAUGGGCAUGCGGAGACAAUGUUUUUUCUUUUUCUAUGUUACUUAAUUUAUUAAGUAAUUCAUAAAAUCUAAAAAAUCAAUGUGUUUAUUUGAAAUAUUACCUCAUGCAAGGUAAAGGGUGUACCUUAGGAUGGCCCAAAUAAAUGAAGCCGCCGAGUCAAUUUGGGGUAAAGGGUGUACCUCAAGAAGGUAAUGAAAGUAUCGUCUGUUUUGAAAAAACAAAGAUUAAGCUCAUAUAUGGGGUAGGUCGCUAUAUUUCAUUUUUGUGCACAACUAUUUAUCUCAUUUGAGUUAAUGAUUUAUUAGCCACUAUCUUUGUAAGCGUCGUACUGAUGUAGUUCAUUGUAAAACCAAAAUUCGUGAUACUCAAAAAUUGAACCAUCAACUGCUAAUAUAGAAUCCGUGUUGGAAUGACAAGUUUAUCACAGUAUAGUUAAGUGACAUCCAGGUGGAAAAUAAUUAAAAACAAAAAAGGAAAAAGCUAAAAAAUCUCGUACGUAUUUAACUGAACUUCAUGUGAUUCUACUUAAGCCAAAAACUACGGAGUAUAUAGUAGAUCUUCACCCAAAAAACCAAAAAACUUUUCAAGAUUCCCCGUCACAUCGAAUUCUGCGGUAAAUGCAUGGAGCAUUAAAUAUAGAUAAAAAUAAAAACUACUUGUAUAGUUUGCCUAUAAAAUCGUGAGAUGAAUCCUUUAAACCUAGUUACUCUAUGAUUGGACAAUAUUUGUCAAAUAAAAACGAAAGUACUACAGUACUCCAACCCAAAAAAAUUUGGUAACUAAACAAGUCCUUAGAGAAGAAACUAUGUCACACAUAUAUAUAUCAGUACAUAGGAUCCGUAAAAUGGUUACUGUAACAUUAUCCAGAGUGGCAAAUCAAUUAAUGGAAACCACAGUAAUUAAAUCAAACUAAACAUUACAAAAAUAUUUGGUAUGAAAUAUUUCAACACAUUUCACAACCUCAUCUUGGUGAUACGGUAGGCGACCCUCUCGCUCAUACCCCUAGUCCAGAGGUCGAACUCAUGGCGUAUGAGGCAGCCUGGGCUGCAGUAUUUGAUGAGCAACGGGCAGUUGUUUUGCUUCGGCCUGUAGCGCCUGCAUUCUUCUCAAAUGCAG
RNAcentral lists this long non-coding RNA (1157 nucleotides) under Sorghum bicolor (sorghum). RNAcentral describes it as "long non-coding RNA (SBIC_LNC006810)". Lineage: Eukaryota; Viridiplantae; Streptophyta; Magnoliopsida; Poales; Poaceae. The record is from RNAcentral.